GUUGGGAAUCUUGCACAAUGGGGGAAACCCUGAUGCAGCGACGCCGCGUGGAGGAUGACGGAUCUAGGUCUGUAAACUCCUUUUUCAUGGAAAGACUUAGGACGGUACCAUGAGAAUAAGGACCGGCUAACUACGUGCCAGCAGCCGCGGUAAGACGUAGGGUCCAAGCGUUGUCCGGAUUUACUGGGCGUAAAGAGCGCGUAGGCGGCUCGUUAAGUGUGAAGUGAAAUCUCCAGGGCUCAACCCGGAAACUGCUUCGCAUACUGGCGAGCUUGAGGAAUGCAGAGGUUUGUGGAAUUCCUGGUGUAGCGGUGAAAUGCGUUGAUAUCAGGAGGAACACCCAUGGCGAAGGCAGCAAACUGGGCAUUAUCUGACGCUGAGGCGCGAAAGCGUGGGUAGCAAACAGGAUUAGAAACCCGGGUAGUCC
RNAcentral lists this ribosomal RNA (427 nucleotides) under uncultured bacterium. Its description in RNAcentral is "bacterial SSU rRNA". It matches the Rfam family "Bacterial small subunit ribosomal RNA", at positions 354 to 796 of the family's 1533-position model. The record is from RNAcentral.